GAUGAACGCUGGCGGCGUGCCUAAUACAUGCAGGUCGAGCGAACAGACGAGGAGCUUGCUCCUCUGACGUUAGCGGCGGACGGGUGAGUAACACGUGGAUAACCUACCUAUAAGACUGGGAUAACUUCGGGAAACCGGAGCUAAUACCGGAUAAUAUAUUGAACCGCAUGGUUCAAUAGUGAAAGACGGUUUUGCUGUCACUUAUAGAUGGAUCCGCGCCGCAUUAGCUAGUUGGGAAGGUAACGGCUUACCAAGGCAACGAUGCGUAGCCGACCUGAGAGGGUGAUCGGCCACACUGGAACUGAGACACGGUCCAGACUCCUACGGGAGGCAGCAGUAGGGAAUCUUCCGCAAUGGGCGAAAGCCUGACGGAGCAACGCCGCGUGAGUGAUGAAGGUCUUCGGAUCGUAAAACUCUGUUAUUAGGGAAGAACAAAUGUGUAAGUAACUAUGCACGUCUUGACGGUACCUAAUCAGAAAGCCACGGCUAACUACGUG
RNAcentral lists this ribosomal RNA (497 nucleotides) under uncultured bacterium. RNAcentral describes it as "partial 16S ribosomal RNA". It matches the Rfam family "Bacterial small subunit ribosomal RNA", at positions 28 to 507 of the family's 1533-position model. The record is from RNAcentral.